Molecule: long non-coding RNA, 515 nt
Organism: Homo sapiens (human)
Lineage: Eukaryota; Metazoa; Chordata; Mammalia; Primates; Hominidae
Source: Ensembl
UGGUAGAGAAACUAACUCACUCUUCGGUGACUGGCAAUGCUUCCUGAAUGAAAGAAACAUCUACUUGACCUCCUCACAGUCUCCCUUUCUAUAGUGCAAGCUCGACUAGACAGUUUUGACAAUAGUGAUAUUAAGGCUCUGCUUGGUGCCAUGCAAUCUGCAUUUGGGGUGCCAGCUAGCCACAGGACUCAUCUGGAAAAAAACAACGGCCCAACCCUGAGAACUUUGGGAUUCACGGGAAAUUACAGUUCCCCUGAUGAUGCAGGACCGGACCAGGAUUUCACUCAUCAACUGGCCUAGAUUAAGGAGAAAGAAAUCUACAUUUCUGAACCUGGUAACGUCUGAGCAUACUCAUGGAAGAAAGAGCUGGCCUAUGAGCGGUGGAUAUUAUGGCUGGAGCUGCAGCAGCCAUCAUGCCAACAUGAGGGAAAAGCUGAUGGAAUUGUGGAGACUUUGGCCUUGUGAUUCAGCCCUGGAUGAGUUGUCUCCACAUUACUUAUCAUAUAAGAGAAAAA